This 4428-nucleotide long non-coding RNA is filed under the name Capsicum annuum. RNAcentral's name for it is "long non-coding RNA (CANN_LNC008972)". The record is from RNAcentral. Lineage: Eukaryota; Viridiplantae; Streptophyta; Magnoliopsida; Solanales; Solanaceae.
UUCCCAUACUCUCACUAAAAUACUCCCAAACACGCUCAUUACCACUCUCUAAACAUCCACCUAACAAACCACAUACUCCUUUAACAAAAAACAUCAUCAUCUUUCUUCCACCCACUGACCACUCUAAUUCUUCUUUUACAACUCACAUAUUCCCUCUCCAUUUUUUAUACAGAUCCCACGUGAACACUCCAUACCUCCACUAAAACACAUGACACACACAUCACUCACUUCCACUCAUUCCCUCUCAAAUGCACACACCACACAAAACACACUCCCUAUAUAAUACACCACACAAAUUAGAACACGGGAGGGGAGAAAAGAAGGAGAAAAGAUAUAGAAACUAGAAGAGAAAGAGACUGAAAAACAAGAGAAAAACACUUAGUAAAAAAAAAAAAAGAAGCAUAGAAAGUGAGAGAAGAGAAAGAGAAAACCCAAACGGAAGAGAAGAAGAGUUCGGGUUUAGAGUUUGAAGUGCCAUUCAAGUUUUCGAUGAUGGUGUUUUGUUUCUAUAUUCGAUUCAGUUCAUUAUACAGGUUCUUAUGUGUCAUGUACUCUUAUAAAUUUUACUACGAACAAGCAUGAAUGAAAUCGUUUAAAUAAAAUCAUGCAUUCUUUGGUUAUGAAUCGUUGAUGGAAAAUUUAUUUUUUUAUCGUGAGCGGUAUGUUUAGUCAUUUUGAGUUUGAAGUUUGAUUUUCUAUAUCGCUUGAGUGCUCAAAUUUUAAUAGUCAAAGAAUUAUCAUAUUCUGCUAUUUCAAAUUAAAAAUGACAAGAAAUGAAUAAAAAAAUUUCAUGUCAGUUAGAUGAUAGGGAUUUAAUAUAUUGUGCUUAUUCUGACAUCUUGGUCCCGUAAUCUCUUCCUGUUGCUUUUCUAAUUGACUAUAAAGUUUCUUUUCGUUAGUAAGUUCUUAUAUAAUAUGAAAUUGUGUUCAUGUUAACCCACUUAUAGAUGAUGGCCAUUAAGUGUCUUUAUGUAAUAGAUUAUUAUGUGUAAAUAAUAUAUUUGAAGGGUAUGCAAAGAACGACGGAUCGUAUCUUAACAUUCAAGAUAAGCAAUUCUUAUUAUUUAAAUAGUGGUUUGGACUAUCACUCAACUAGUUCCUGUGAUAGACAAUAGAUAAUUAAUGAAAUCCAUAUCAUGCUAUAGUUUGUUUUCUUUGUUAAGUGAGUUUUGUUCUGUGUUGGUGAAUAGAAAUAAAAAUGGGAUAUGAAUAUUUUAAUAGCCACUUGAUAACAAAGGAGAAGAGUGGUGUGAACUUAUCUUUAGUUUUUACUCCUAUUUGUUACUGUUCAAUUAAUAGUUAGGUGUGUAAUGAUAGUAUAAUCAAGAGGGAAAUUCUUUUUAAUAUUAUUGGUAGUUGGUACGUGGUCAAAUCAUGAUGUGCACUAGCUCUUCAUAAUAUUUUGAACUAAAUCAAAAUCCCAUUCGGUUGGCCUAAUUAAUUAUUAAUGUGAGGUAAAAUAAAAUGGGUUGUAAAUUUAUUCAAGAUUCAUCAUAUCCGAUAGAUUAAAAGAGAGGAAAAACCUAUUGUACGGGAGUGAACUUAUAAAAUAAUUAGUUAGGUUCUUAUCUUCUAAAUAAUUAAGAAUUUAAUAUACAAAUAAAAAUUAAUGAAAAGCUCUGCUACCAACCAUUCGUUAUAGUAAAAUUAAUUCACCAUUUGAAGCCGAUUGGAUUGGGUUGGAUAGAUUUUAAACCUUUAGGUGCUUAUUUAGACUAGGAAAAUGGGGACGCUCCAUAAAUGCCACAAAGGCACGAGAAAUAUAUCAAAACUUGUGGUAACGCCGAAAAGUACUACUAUCGGUAAGUCACGCAUCAAUACAGUUUUAAAUAUAUUCAAAAAUAAUUAAAAGGAGGGAUAGAAAUCACUUUUAGGCUAACAAAUAUUAUAUAUCCAAGAGAUUAAUUUAAGCCAGACAUAAGUCAUUAAAGCAAUUGUGCUAGAACCACGGGACUCGAGGGGUGCCUAACACCUUUCCCUCGGUCACAGAAUUCCUUAUCCGAAUUUCUAGUUCACAGAUCAAAAAUUAAGAGUCAUUGUCUUUUGAAGAUGGAUUCAAUAAGGUGACUUGGAACACUCAAACUCAAUUUCAAGUGACUACUCUAUAAAAUAAAUAAUCCCUAUUCAAAACGUCACUUUAAUUGGAAAACCCCAUUUUCUCUAAAACCAGUUGCACUAGCGGGGUUGGAUGCGGUAAAAAUAGGGGUGUGACAUCCAAUAGUGAUUGGACCGGUUUUAAUGGCUCAAUAGACUUGUUGAAAGGCCUCCAAAGCCUCGCACUGUAGUAAACAACGAUGGAACUAAUAGAAAUUUCCCUGGUCCAAAUUUAUAUGGUUGGGUUGUUGGAGGAGACUAUUAUACAACAGAAGGUGUUUGGGAGAAUACCUGUGCAGGAAGAGGGAGGUUGAGAAGGCCAUAUACCAUCUCAGUCCUUGUUUAAGAGAAAACACACGGUAGAAAGGAAAGUGUAGCAAAAUUGGUUGAUGAAAUUGACAUGGAAAAUUUAAAAACUGUAUGAGCUGUGAAUGUUAAAGUGUAUCCAAAAAUGAAAAUUCAGCAGUCGUUGAAGAAAAAGAAGAAUGGUCAAGAGGACUUGAACUGGUCACUUUGCUAAAGACUGCAACUAGCGAGAGUGUCCUCAACGAAGACCCAAAAAAUGCAGGAUCAUAACUCUAAGGAAGCAGCUGCACGAGCACAAAAGUUGGUAAGAUUGUCGGUCAGAAUUAAAACCUAAACCAAUUACUCCUGCAAUAAAAAUACGAGAUCAAGCCAAGAGGGAAAUUUCUCAAGUUAAACAUGCAUCCCAUGCCUCCUGUUUACGGCUCUGGUCAGGUCAAAGGUAGUGGAAACAAAAAGGCAUAGGAUUUUGACCCAACUUCGGACCUUUUUAUUUCUACUGCCAUUGACCUGAUCAUAGCCACAAACAGAAGGCAUGUCAUGCAAGUUAGAAUUCAGAAAUUAAUGUCUUGGCUUCCCUUAUUUUUAAUUCAGGAAUUAUUGGUUCAGGUUUUAAUUCUAACCAACAAUCUUACCACCUUUCGUACUCGCGAAGCUUCUUUCUUAGAGUUCUGGUCCUGAACUUUGUGAGAGUCUUCAUUGAGGCCACGCUCGCUAGUUGCAUUCUCGAGCAAAGUGUCCAGCUCUAGUCCUGUUGACCAUUCUUCUUCUUUUUUUUUCUAUCGACUGAUGGAUUUUUAUAUUUGGAUACACUUUCACAUUUAAAGCUCAUCCAGUUUUUUUGUUUCUCAUGUCAAUUUCAUUGUCCAAUUUUUCUACACUUUCCUUCCUACCCUGUGUUUCCACUUAAACAAGGUCUGAGAUGAUAUAUGGCCUUCUCCACCUCCCACUUUGCGCAUAGGUAUUCUCCCAAGUACCUUCUGCUGUAUAAAAGUCUCCUCCAUCAAUCUAUCCAUUAAGUUUAGACUAGGGUAAUUUCUAUUAGUUCUAUCGUUAUUUGUUGCAUUGCGAGGCUUCGAAGGCCUUUCAAGAAGUCCAUUGCGGCAUUAAAACCGGUUCAAUCACUAUUGGAUAUUUAAAUUGCCGCCAAAAUCUUGAACCCUUCCCCAAACUUGAUGCAAAAAACAUAAGCAUAAACCAUCAUUAAAUUAUAACGGGGUAUCAACACCACCGUCUUGGAACACUUUGGCCAUAUCAUUUCGCACCUAUCAAACUAAACUGUACAAUGAAGGAUCUUGUUUGAAGGAUCAAUGUCUAAUCGAUAAAAAAUUGCAUUCACAAAAUUAUUGCACUUUAUGUGUGUCUGUCAUGAUAGCCUGAUCAAUAAUAUACAUAACUCCCAUGCAUGAAAAUGGGAUCCAUUGCACGCACCUUAUUCUUCCUACCCCAUCAGGACAUGUCAGACGGUGUUGCUUAUUCAUCUGUACGCAUGUAAUGACUAUUAAAAAGAGGUUUGAAGAGUUGUGACUUUUUAUCUAACACAUUCAAAACAUCUAAUGAACUGAAUACUCCAUCUAUUGAAACUGAUGAAUCAGAUGUUAGAAGAAAUAAAAUAAUACAUAUGUUGCAUCAAAUAUCUCAUCUGUUGCACAUAUAAUCCAUCUGUUGCAACAGAUGGUAAAUCUAUUGCGACAGAUGGACGAUCUGUUGCAACAACUCAAUAAUAACAGUUGUUAUCGAGUCUCAAACCGUUUUAAAAGGUGAGAAGUAUAUUAAUGUAAAAGAAAAAGUCGCUAUUUUUUACUGAAAACAAAAUGCCACCAGUUUGAAUGUAAUUAAUACAAUGGAGCUGAACAGUCAUGCCUUUUGGCCUAAUACGUCCAGAUUCAAUUCUCUAUAAAUAGGUCCCUCCUUAAUCUUCAUUCUACUCAACCUUAUUUACUUCUUGCAUUUUUUCUUUUCGUGUGACAUCUUCAACCACUUUUCUUCAAAGAGCAUAUUCCUUUCUCGUUGAGGUAAUUUUUUUNNNNN